This 2781-nucleotide unclassified non-coding RNA is filed under the name Cyanidioschyzon merolae strain 10D. Its description in RNAcentral is "hypothetical transcript". The record is from RNAcentral. Lineage: Eukaryota; Rhodophyta; Bangiophyceae; Cyanidiales; Cyanidiaceae.
GUGUUUCAUCAUAGACAGCAACGCGUUCCACGAAUUCCCUUCUAUUCGGCAAACAGCAAAGAGCGGGCAUUGGUCAUCCUGCACACGCACACACCAGCUUAUGCUCUGUGUUUCAAACCGAUGGAGAACGGUUGCGGGGCCGUCAAACGCAGCCUCAGAGAGGCCGAUGCACGCUUCGGGAUAACGCGGCUCGCUCUCGACACGAACUGAUGCCCGGUGCUCUAGGAACUGCCGUUCAGACCAAUGGACCUGUUGGAGUUUGUAUAGGGAAACUCGCUGACGAUUGCGGUUCGUGGAAUUCCGAAGUCGUACGAAGAGAAAAACAAGGUAUAAAUACUUUAGUUAUACGGCAUGCUUAUCGACGGAGGCACACAACCGCCGCACACGAGAGGUCUCAGAGAAACGACUGUGUAGUUAGACGAAAAUCGUCCAAGAGCGUAACGAAAAGAGAUGCGUACCGCUUCCAGACGAGCUCGCCAGUCUCGGACGGGGCGGUUUCCUGAACGGAACGCUUCGCUUGGGUGUGUUCACGGACGAGGAGCGGCGCUCAUCGUUACUGCCGGAAACGGCGGUCGUUCAGUGCCAGCUUGGAACGUGCGUGCUCCCACCGGAACACGUGGCACGCGACAUGUACCUGGUGGUUCUUUGCAGCAAGCUCCGGCGACACGCUUGCCUCAAACUCAAGUCCGCGUGCUUCGAGUGUGCCGAGGUCUUUGGAAACGUCCAGCACUUUGUAGAAGCGCAGCUGACACCGAUAAGCUUUUCGUCCUAGUUGUCCCCGAGUGCGCACCAGGCAGACUUGACCCGCAACUAGCCUUCAUCGGCGACGCACGGACGUCGGCUCCCAAGCUGGACAGCAUUGGGAGCGUCGAGGGCCUCUCUCGCUUGGUGACUCAAAGCGCCCCAGAUAAUACGAAUGGGUACGGGGAAUGAUACGCACAGUGACGCUGAGAAGGGUGAGCAUACACCUCCACCGGCACGUGAAAGAUUCUAUGGGGUGGAGGCGAAAGUGCGACGACUCGGCGACCGGCAUGGGCGGUAUGAAGGAGCUCUUCAUGACCGACGCUUCGUUGCAGCCAGUCGGCUCGAAGGAUUGCGAGACCAUGAUGAAUGUCCGUCAUCUGGCCCUUCGCGACGAGGACGUUGUCUCGAAGAUGGACCUGUCGCACGCGACUAACGCACCCACGAAUGCGAUGGCGCGUCUGCACCCAGCGUGCCGGUCCAGAGCCUCCGUCAGGGGAGGAGUACGCGGCUUUUACGAACGCACGUCUCCGUGGCUCGUGCCACUGCCAGCAAGCACACUUUUUCGCUUUGUCGUGGAUCGUGACGCCGCGCGAGGGUUACGCAGAUGCGUCCGAUGGAGAACAAGUGUGUCGAGGAAGAGGAAGAGAGGCUGAUCGCUAGGUGCAAGCCCAGACAGCGAACUAUGCGCCCGCACCCGAAGAUUCGAGGAAACUCAUGAACCGCUUGACGAGCGAGAAGCGACGGAGCGCGCAGGAGGGCGCGGAGGCGAAGGGAGACCGGAGGAACCGGAGCUUCGCGCUUCCAACAGGAGAAGUAGAGUCGUCGUUCGCUUCCGAUAGCGCGAGCGUGUCCAUCGCCGUCAAGCGCGAACGCUCUAUACGAUUGAAGAAUCGUCAGGGCGCCGAUGCACCCUGGUUAGAGGGGAAAAUGUGCGGAUGAACAACGAACAACUGGGAUGCGCGGCGGCGCGAACUUGCUCCCCAAUGCGAUCGGCCUCAACUUGGACCCAAAGAGAUCGGGUUCCUGAACCUUCACGAUGAUUGCGAGAUCCGAAGGGAUGCCCGACUUGCCUGUGGUCACCGACGACGCACUGGAGCCGCGAGUCUCGAACACGCCGAUUCCCGCUCAAAGUCGUAGCUUGGACUCGAGUACCUCAUAUGUUCGCCUAAGCGGACGGUGAGCGAGUGAGGCACUCGUCCGACGCGCAAACGAGUGAGACAGGAGAGAGUCCCAGUAGCCUUGGCGGCAUUAUCACAAGCAGGUGGCACAAUCGGACCUGAUGGCCCGUCACGCUCAUCUGCACAGUUUGUGGGAAGGGAACGCAGGAAAGCAAGAGCGCACAAGGAAUCGGUUGUUGAGGUACCGAAUGGAAUAGCGUGCGCUUGCGAGUGCAGCGGGCAGCGCACGCGCACAAGAAGUCGUCCAGAAGAGCAAGUGCAUGAUCACGGGGCACAGCACUGGGCGCGAAAACGGAGCAAGGCAUCGCGUAGAGCCUUCUGUACCCGUCAACGACAGCUACGGAGGGAUGCAGCAAGCGCUCGCAUGCUGCAGGUCGGCUCCCAGGGAAUGCGAGCUCGUGAACACAUACGGGAAUAUCUGAACACAAUCAGGUUAACCGCUUUGAAGCGCGCACCAGCACUGAAUUCUAGGAAACGAAGAAAACGGCAAGCGAUCCGUAAAUCGCAACCUCCGCCUGCACAUCGAAUACGCAGGCAACUGCCGGAACCUGUGAAACUGCGACCCCAACGCCGCGAUUAGCAUCCCUCGACAGCCUACAACAGUGCUGGAAAGAAAGUAGCGACCGGCGUGUUCCAGCCCGGAGCUAAGAGAGAGGAAAAGCGAUCAGCCGCAGCAAAAGCUCCCAUGGGAUGGCUUUCAUGACUGAGGGAAGAGAUGCGAGCUUUGCAGAGCUAGCCCUAGCUGGCUGGUCCGUUCCAUUUCUGUCUAGUUUUGGAAGUAGCAAGUCGGUGGAGCGCUAGGGAUCAGAGUUCGCCAGAGUGACCGCCUCCAGAGAUGCAGAAACGCCGACCUUUAACU